This 556-nucleotide ribosomal RNA is filed under the name Colletotrichum acutatum. RNAcentral's name for it is "eukaryotic LSU rRNA". The stretch from base 198 to 351 matches the Rfam family "5.8S ribosomal RNA". The record is from RNAcentral. Lineage: Eukaryota; Fungi; Ascomycota; Sordariomycetes; Glomerellales; Glomerellaceae.
GCGGAGGGAUCAUUACUGAGUAACCGCUCUAUAACCCUUUGUGAACGUACCUAACCGUUGCUUCGGCGGGCAGGGGAAGCCUCUCGCGGGCCUCCCCUCCCGGCGCCGGCCCCCACCACGGGGACGGGGCGCCCGCCGGAGGAAACCAAACUCUAUUUACACGACGUCUCUUCUGAGUGGCACAAGCAAAUAAUUAAAACUUUUAACAACGGAUCUCUUGGUUCUGGCAUCGAUGAAGAACGCAGCGAAAUGCGAUAAGUAAUGUGAAUUGCAGAAUUCAGUGAAUCAUCGAAUCUUUGAACGCACAUUGCGCUCGCCAGCAUUCUGGCGAGCAUGCCUGUUCGAGCGUCAUUUCAACCCUCAAGCACCGCUUGGUUUUGGGGCCCCACGGCCGACGUGGGCCCUUAAAGGUAGUGGCGGACCCUCCCGGAGCCUCCUUUGCGUAGUAACUAACGUCUCGCACUGGGAUCCGGAGGGACUCUUGCCGUUAAACCCCCAAAUUCUUUACAGGUUGACCUCGGAUCAGGUAUGAAUACCCGCUGAACUUAAGCAUAUC